Long non-coding RNA from Hyla sarda, 480 nucleotides. RefSeq lists it as uncharacterized. NCBI's taxonomy places the organism in Eukaryota, Metazoa, Chordata, Amphibia, Anura, Hylidae. The transcript is spliced from 4 exons. The record is from RefSeq and is a predicted model, not a curated record.
AGCUGACGCCAAAUCUAAUGCAACAACUUGCCAAGAUGAUCUAUACAAGAUGGGUAGGACUGAAUGCUGACCGCUCCUGCAAGACCUGAAUAAUGAGACCAACAAAUGCCGUACAAUAAGCUACAUCAGGUUCAAGAGAAUCCUGCUUUAUGGGAUCCUGUUAGUGAUGAUUUUAAGAAUCGUCAAGUUACAUCCGAGAUUUGGACCAAAAUUUGUCGAACAUUAUAUCCCGAAUGGGAUGGGCUUGACCAAAAGCUACAGUCCACAAUAUUGCAAGAUGUCAAGAACCAUUGGCGGUCAACCAAAGAUCAUUUUAGAAAAUAUAUGAAUGAUGUUGGCAAAAGUGGGUCUGCUGCACCUACAAAAAAAAGUUGCCCAUUUUGAGCAACUACAGUUUCUUCUAACCAGCCGCGUUGUUCGCAAUUCUAGUGGCAACAUUACAAAUCCUCGGACGUUGGAACCAGACAACGAAAGCCAACA